UACGGAGGGGGUUAGCGUUGUUCGGAAUUACUGGGCGUAAAGCGCACGUAGGCGGACCGAAAAGUUGGGGGUGAAAUCCCAGGGCUCAACCCUGGAACUGCCUCCAAAACUGCCGGUCUAGAGUUCGAGAGAGGUGAGUGGAAUUCCGAGUGUAGAGGUGAAAUUCGUAGAUAUUCGGAGGAACACCAGUGGCGAAGGCGGCUCACUGGCUCGAUACUGACGCUGAGGUGCGAAAGUGUGGGGAGCAAACAGG
Molecule: unclassified non-coding RNA, 253 nt
Filed under: uncultured Paracoccaceae bacterium
Lineage: Bacteria; Pseudomonadati; Pseudomonadota; Alphaproteobacteria; Rhodobacterales; Paracoccaceae
Description: uncultured Rhodobacteraceae bacterium contains 16S-23S intergenic spacer region
Rfam family: Bacterial small subunit ribosomal RNA
Source: RNAcentral